RNAcentral lists this transfer RNA (77 nucleotides) under Ignavibacteria bacterium RBG_16_34_14. RNAcentral's name for it is "tRNA-Glu". It matches the Rfam family "tRNA". From Rfam's summary of the family: Transfer RNA (tRNA) molecules are approximately 80 nucleotides in length. Their secondary structure includes four short double-helical elements and three loops (D, anti-codon, and T loops). Lineage: Bacteria; Pseudomonadati; Ignavibacteriota; Ignavibacteria. The record is from RNAcentral.
GGCGCGUUCGUCUAGUGGCUUAGGACAUCGCCCUCUCAAGGCGGGGAUCGCGGGUUCGAAUCCCGCACGCGCUACAA